RNAcentral lists this long non-coding RNA (1848 nucleotides) under Triticum aestivum (bread wheat). Its description in RNAcentral is "long non-coding RNA (TAES_LNC000663)". The record is from RNAcentral. Lineage: Eukaryota; Viridiplantae; Streptophyta; Magnoliopsida; Poales; Poaceae.
GGCCUUCUAACUUGGAACAUCAGGACAUGUUAAAUCUCAAUUUGUCACUUGCAUGUUGCAUUAAGUUACAUGUCAGAGUUCUCUUGUGUAUUGUAGUGAGCUGGAUACAACUCAUGUUUGAUUAGUUGAGCUCUCCUCCUCGGCGAUUGGCUGAAGGAGGACCAGGACGUCGAGCUAAGACGGGCCGCAUCUGACUCGCCCUGUUGCAGUGGGGUGCCUUGCCUCCUUUGACACUCAACAUGAGACAAGGUUAUCUGGUGUUGGUUCUUAGGUUCGGAGGUUUAUAAAUGAUCGGGGUGGUGUCUUUGGAUGAUUGUGCCUCGGUGCUAUUUCCUGCUGGGUGUAUGAAUGAAACGUGAUUGAUCUUUGCCCAUUAACCUGUUUGAUAAUUUAAUUCAAGUUAGCACAAGCAUAAGUUGUUAAUAGUAUGUUUUAUGUUUUUUUUACAAGAAGCAUUGUAUGCUGCAACUAUUUUGGAUGGAAUAGUUACUAUAAGAGUGGGCUAUAUGUCACCAACCUUCUAAUUGUAUAUUGUAUUAUCUGAAGUUUGGUGUUGUUUCAUAAGCAUUUCUUUCAAUGUCAGAUUACUAUGAUUCUGACGCAACAAGGUUUUGAUUCAUGCUUAUGAUCACAUUAUGAAGUUGUACUCUGCUUCAACUCAUGUUUCUACCCUAAUUUGUCUAACUGGUUCUUUUUAUUUUUGUGGACGAGGCAUGUCAAGGCGGCGUGGCGGCACUAUGGACGACAUCAGCAUGACCAGAUCAGUGGUGAAAAUCCCAGGUGAAAAUACUCUCUUUAUUAGGUCUCAUUUUGUUGAAUGAAUAGUUACUUUAUAUGAUGUUGGUUAGGGUUUGUAUGGAGAUAGCAGCUGUUAUGUUUGACCAUCACUUAUAUAUAUAUAUGCAUUGCCUGCUAUUUGCAAAGUUUGUUGGCUUUGGUCUGCAACUACAACUUGCACAAUAAGUGCAAUCGGAUAAAUGACACAACUUGCACAAUAGUUACUUGAUAUGAGCUUAUGGAGAAGCUUGAGGAAACACGAAGGUCAAUAGGAUGCAUUUUACUAGAGCUUGAUCAUGCAGAUUUUCUUGGAUUUUGCCUACUGAUAAAGCUAAGGUUUCUAUGGUUGAAAGGGAUUAUACUAAUUUACAGGACCCAAAGUGAUAGAAGAUUCUGCGGCUGUGGAAACCACCAGGUACAUGUAGAACGCACAAAACGAUACCUUCUAAGAUGAACCAGUACCUGAGUUAGAGAGCACACGUGAAAUUACUAUCAGUUAGGAUUAUCAAGUUUAUUAGAUACACAACAUCAGAAUGAGUGAGCGAGCACAUGUAAAAUUGCUUUGAACAGUGAGCGAGUCCCGUACCAGUUUUAAUGUUGUAUAGAUUAUGUGUACUUAUAUUUAUUGAACUGGAUUACUUAAUAAAUUUUGAAGCCAAAUUUAAGAUGAUUCGAUGAAGAAAAAAUAGAACUUAAACAGUGUCAUGUCAUGUGUUAAGCUUAGAUGAUGCCUUUCUUACACAAAGGUCUUACAAUGUAUUCCUAUUAGUCAUUCUAAUAAACAAGGAUACCUUCCUUGCACAGGUAGUUCGUGAGUGAUGAUCAAUCAAUUCGAAGAACCACUUGCUUCGGCACUGUUAUUGCCCAACUAUGUAUUAUACCACUAGCUACCUAGCCGUUUCAGUGAAUUUCUAUUCGACCAUUCACCUUUUGUAGGAAUGUCUUGCUCUGAAUAUUAUGUUGCAUCAAAAUUGUUGGAUGCUCUCUCAGACCUUGACUGCUUUGUAUAAAUAUACAGUAUAUAAAGCAUUCUGCGUUAGCCCUGUUUGUGGUUUGCUAAUUGUGUUGCUU